Molecule: ribosomal RNA, 498 nt
Filed under: uncultured bacterium
Lineage: Bacteria
Description: partial 16S ribosomal RNA
Rfam family: Bacterial small subunit ribosomal RNA
Source: RNAcentral
AUUGAACGCUGGCGUCAUGCCUUACACAUGCAAGUCGAACGGUAACAGGUCCUCGGAUGCUGACGAGUGGCGAACGGGUGAGUAAUACAUCGGACCGUGCCUAGUAGUGUGGGAUAACUACUCGAAAGAGUGGCUAAUACAGCAUGAGAUGUAGGGAUGAAAGCAGGGGAUCGCAAAACCUGGUGCUACUAGAGCGGCCGAUGGCAGAUGAGGUGGUUGGUGGGAUAAAAGCUUACGAAGCCGACGAUCUGUAGCUGGUCUGAGAGGACGAUCAGCCACACUGGGACUGAGACACGGCCCAGACUCCUACGGGAGGCAGCAGUGGGGAAUUUUGGACAAUGGGCGAAAGCCUGAUCCAGCAAUGCCGCGUGCAGGAUGAAGGCCUUCGGGUUGUAAACUGCUUUUGUACGGAACGAAAAGCCCCGGGUUAAUACCCUGGGGUCAUGACGGUACCGUAAGAAUACGCACCGGCUAACUACGUGCCAGCCGCCGCCGUAA